This 484-nucleotide ribosomal RNA is filed under the name Gemella haemolysans. RNAcentral describes it as "bacterial SSU rRNA". It matches the Rfam family "Bacterial small subunit ribosomal RNA", at positions 28 to 495 of the family's 1533-position model. Lineage: Bacteria; Bacillati; Bacillota; Bacilli; Caryophanales; Gemellaceae. The record is from RNAcentral.
GACGAACGCUGGCGGCGUGCCUAAUACAUGCAAGUCGAGCGAAGUUUUUCUGGUGCUUGCACCGGAAAAACUUAGCGGCGAACGGGUGAGUAACACGUAAAGAACCUGCCUCAUAGACUGGGACAACUAUUGGAAACGAUAGCUAAUACUGGAUAACAGCAUUAACUGCAUGGUUGAUGUUUAAAAGUUGGUUUUGCUAACACUAUGAGAUGGCUUUGCGGUGCAUUAGCUAGUUGGUGGGGUAAAGGCCUACCAAGGCGACGAUGCAUAGCCGACCUGAGAGGGUGAUCGGCCACACUGGGACUGAGACACGGCCCAGACUCCUACGGGAGGCAGCAGUAGGGAAUCUUCCGCAAUGGGCGAAAGCCUGACGGAGCAACGCCGCGUGAGUGAAGAAGGAUUUCGGUUCGUAAAGCUCUGUUGUUAGGGAAGAAUGAUUGUGUAGUAACUAUACACAGAGAGACGGACCUAACCAAAAGCCACG